RNAcentral lists this long non-coding RNA (218 nucleotides) under Lupinus angustifolius (narrow-leaved blue lupine). RNAcentral describes it as "long non-coding RNA (LANG_LNC003616)". The record is from RNAcentral. Lineage: Eukaryota; Viridiplantae; Streptophyta; Magnoliopsida; Fabales; Fabaceae.
UUCAUUGAGACUUUGCCAUUUCUUUAGUUUGAUUUUCUCUUGCACUUUAAUCAUGUCAUUAAUGCUUUAUAGUCAUUUUGAAUGAAGCAUUUAAAUCUGAAAGUGUGGUGACCAACAUAACUAUUUUGUACUAAGUUGUUUCCUUUUGCAGUGAUAAAGUACCCUUUGUCUUCUGCAAUGUUGCAUCUAUCAAUAUAUCCUUUCAUCCCAAUUCCAAC